AAGCCGCAGAAUUCUGUGCUAAGGUAGCAUAAUCAUUUGUCUUUUAAUUAAAGACUAGAAUGAAAGGUCAAACGAAUAAAAAACUUAAAUAAUCUAAUAUAUCAAAAUUAAAUUUUUUGUUAAAAUACAAAAAUAAAUUAAAAAGACGACAAGACCCUGUUGAACUUAACUAAUGUUAUACUGGGGCAGUAUUAUAACAACAACUUUAAACUAAAAUUUAUAUAACUAUCUUUAAUAAAAUAAAUAAAGUUACCACAGGGAUAACAGCGCAAUUUAUUUUAAAAGCUCUUAUAAAAAAAUAAGAUUACGACCUCGAUGUUGAAUUAAUUAACCACACAAAUGCAAAAUUUUGCAAGUAAGUCUGUUCGACUUAAAAAAAUUACAUGAUCUG
Molecule: ribosomal RNA, 391 nt
Filed under: Masirana flabelli
Lineage: Eukaryota; Metazoa; Arthropoda; Arachnida; Araneae; Leptonetidae
Description: partial large subunit ribosomal RNA
Rfam family: Bacterial large subunit ribosomal RNA
Source: RNAcentral